Molecule: ribosomal RNA, 495 nt
Filed under: uncultured bacterium
Lineage: Bacteria
Description: partial 16S ribosomal RNA
Rfam family: Bacterial small subunit ribosomal RNA
Source: RNAcentral
GAUGAACGCUGGCGGCGUGCCUAAUACAUGCAAGUCGAGCGAACAGACGAGGAGCUUGCUCCUCUGACGUUAGCGGCGGACGGGUGAGUAACACGUGGAUAACCUACCUAUAAGACUGGGAUAACUUCGGGAAACCGGAGCUAAUACCGGAUAAUAUAUUGAACCGCAUGGUUCAAUAGUGAAAGACGGUUUUGCUGUCACUUAUAGAUGGAUCCGCGCCGCAUUAGCUAGUUGGUAAGGUAACGGCUUACCAAGGCAACGAUGCGUAGCCGACCUGAGAGUGAGCGGCGACACACUAAAUGAGAGACACGGCAGACUCCUACGGGAGGCAGCAGUAGGGAACCUUCCGCAAUGGGCGAAAGCCUGACGGAGCAACGCCGCGUGAGUGAUGAAGGUCUUCGGAUCGUAAAACUCUGUUAUUAGGGAAGAACAAAUGUGUAAGUAACUAUGCACGUCUUGACGGUACCUAAUCAGAAAGCCACGGCUAACUACGUG